Molecule: ribosomal RNA, 322 nt
Filed under: uncultured eukaryote
Lineage: Eukaryota
Description: partial 18S ribosomal RNA
Rfam family: Eukaryotic small subunit ribosomal RNA
Source: RNAcentral
CCCUUAGAUGUUCUGGGCCGCACGCGUGCUACACUGAGUGGAUCAGCGGGUCAGGUUGCGCGAAAGCGUUUCCUAAUCUUUAAAUCCGCUCGUGAUGGGGAUUGACGGUUGCAAUUUUCUGUCAUGAACGAGGAAUACCUUGUAAGCGCGGGUCAUCAUCCCGCGCUGAAUACGUCCCUGCCCUUUGUACACACCGCCCGUCGCUCCUACCGAUUGAGUGGUCCGGUGAGGCUUUGGGAUCUGAGCGGAAAGAGCGUUUCGCUGUUUCUGCUCGGAUAACUCAGUCGAACCUUAUCAUUUAGAGGAAGGAGAAGUCGUAACA